This 29-nucleotide non-coding RNA is filed under the name Rattus norvegicus (Norway rat). The record is from RNAcentral. Lineage: Eukaryota; Metazoa; Chordata; Mammalia; Rodentia; Muridae.
UCCAAGUGUAAGAUUCCUUUUCAAUGGGC